GGUAGGGUGGCCGAGAAAUAGGCGAUGAGCUGUAGACUCACUUACGGGAAUAAACCCCCCCAACCA
RNAcentral lists this transfer RNA (66 nucleotides) under Gekko vittatus (white-lined gecko). RNAcentral describes it as "tRNA-Tyr". Lineage: Eukaryota; Metazoa; Chordata; Lepidosauria; Squamata; Gekkonidae. The record is from RNAcentral.